Sus scrofa (pig) is the source of this 7862-nucleotide RNA transcript. It is a transcript of the gene named TSPO associated protein 1, with no coding region annotated. The record is from RefSeq and is a predicted model, not a curated record. NCBI's taxonomy places the organism in Eukaryota, Metazoa, Chordata, Mammalia, Artiodactyla, Suidae.
GGGGAGGGGAGGACUGGCUCUCCCCUGCUCACCCCCCUAUUCUGAGGCUCAGCCCUCCUCCGCGCCCACCAUCUCGGGGCUCCGGGACUGUAAGGGACCCCUGCAGUCCCCAGAGCUGAGGCCAGAAGGGACAGAGACUAUGAGGCAAGCAGCCCACCGACCCAGGCCUCCUUAGGACCAGCCCAGCCACCCAGCAAGCUGGCGAGCAGCAGCGGAGAGAGGAGUAGGAGAUAAAGGACCACAGCCGACCUUUGGGGACCAUCCCCGGCAGCUCCUGUGGACCCUAGCCAGGCUGAGGGCUCCUGAUAGAUGGCCAGACUCACAGACGCUGAUGGACACACAAUGACAGCGAUGAUGCACACAGCAGCAUUGAGAUACUCAGAUACAACCAGUGACAGCAUCACCCACUGCCACAGCCCUGCAAUAUAGACACCCCCCCACACACACACAGAAACAACUGGUAACUCCGAAACAGGCACAGACAGUGACACGCAGAACCACUACCCCCAACACAAGCGGGGGCAUCCAUCUGCCAAACACACACACACACACACACACACACACACACGGCAGCACUGACCGGCACAGACAGACCUGGAGACACACGGACACCCUCACCCGGGCACUGCUGUUGGUGGCCUUUGCACAUCCUCCCCACCCCCACGGGGACACCCUUGCUCCUCCACACACUCACACACACACGCAGCCACAGCAACAGCAAACACAGCUCGCAUACCCCAGCUCCGGCUCUGGCAGCCCAGACUCCUGCAGCCUCCUUUGUGGAUGAGGAAGAACUCAGCCAGCCUCGGAUGGAUGUUCGGUGAAGCCCAGAGCUCAGAAAAGAAAGGCUCUGGCCUGGCAGGACCCUCGCCAGCCCCUCCACCCGGCUGGGUGAUGUCCCCUGGCCUGGGUCCUGGGGCCCCUUGGCAGAACCAUGGAGCAACUGACACCCCUCCCGCGGCCGGGGGACCCCAGAAACAUGGAGCCAUGGGCACUGCCCGCCUGGCAGAGCUGGACUCCAGGCCAGGGGGGCGAACCCGGAGGUGCAUCCCCAAGCAUGGCCGAUACUCCGGCAGCUCUGCAUGUGGGAGAACUGAGGCCUGAGGAGAGCCCUGAGCCUGAGGGAGCCCGAAGCCCUGGGGCUGUGGGGGGCAUUGAGCCCAGAAGAACAGAAACUGGGCUGCCUAGCUCGGGGCCUGGAGCCUUGGGGUCCAGACCCAGCUGCCAGAGGCUGGAGGACGAGGAGCUGGAGGCUUCCCCUAAGGGCAAGCUGAAAAUGGGCUUUGGGGACCAGCCCAACCUGGAGCUGCUGAGGGCAGUGGGGGAGCUGCAGCAGCGCUGUGCCAUCCUUAAGGAGGAGAACCAGAUGCUGAGGAAGAGCAGCUUCCCCGAGACAGAGGAGAAGGUGCGGAGGCUGAAGCGGAAGAACGCCGAGCUGGCGGUCAUUGCCAAGCGCCUGGAGGAGAGAGCCCGGAAGCUGCAGGAGACUAACCUGAGGGUGGUGAGUGCUCCCAUGCCCAGUCCAGGGGCCAGCUUGGAGUUAUGCCGGAAGGCCCUGGCCCGUCAACGAGCCCGGGACCUCAGUGAGACAGCCAGCGCCCUGCUGGCCAAGGACAAGCAGAUUGCUGCCUUGCAGCGGGAGUGCAGGGAGCUGCAGGCCAGGCUCACGCUGGUCGGCAAGGAGGGCCCCCAGUGGCUCCACGUGCGGGACUUCGACCGGCUGCUGCGCGAAUCCCAGCGGGAGGUGCUGCGGCUGCAGAGGCAAAUCGCCCUCCGCAACCAGAGGGAGCCUCCCCCACCGCCCCGGCCCCCGGGCCCCGCAGCCCCGGCCAGAGGAGGGGCGCCCGCCCCCGGGGCCCCGGGAGAGGCCACGCCCCAGGAGGAUGUGGAAAACCCACCCUUGGUCCUAGGGGAGCCAGAGAAACAGCAGAGGGUGCAGCAGCUGGAAUCGGAGCUCAGCAAGAAGCGGAAGAAAUGCGAGAGCCUAGAGCUGGAAGCCCGGAAAAAGCAGAGGCGAUGUGAGGAGCUGGAACUGCAGCUGAGGGAAGCCCGGAAUGAGAAUGCCCGCCUUGUGGAGGAGAACUCUCGGCUCAGUGGGAGAGCCACGGAGAAGGAGCAGGUGGAGUGGGAGAAUGCGGAGUUGAGGGGGCAGCUCCUGGGGGUGACACAGGAGAGGGACUCGGCCCUUCUCAAGAGCCAGGGCCUGCAGAGCAAGCUGGAGAGCCUGGAGCAGGUGCUGAAGCACAUGCGGGAGGUGGCCCAGCGGCGGCAGCAGCUGGAGGUGGAGCAUGAGCAGGCUCGCCUCAGCCUGCAGGAGAAACAGGAGGAGGUCCGGAGGCUGCAGCAGGCCCAGGCAGAAGCCAAGAGGGAACAUGAAGGGGCUGUGCAGCUGCUGGAGUCUACCCUGGAUUCCAUGCAGGUCCGGGUUCGAGAGCUGGAGGAGCAGUGCCGUAGCCAGACUGAGCGCUUCAGCCUCCUGGCGCAGGAGCUCCAGGCCUUCCGCCUGCACCCGGGGCCCUUGGAUCUGCUCACUUCUGCCCUGGGCUGCAAUACUCUUGGGGACCGCCCGCCGCCCCCCUGCUGCUGCUCCACCCCCCAGCCCUGCCGGGGGUCCGGCCUCAAAGACUUUGACCUCCCGCCAGGCUCCCCAGGGCACUGCACCCCAAAGUCUUCCGAGUCUGCCCCUGCCACUCUUGCUGGGGUCCCCCGAAGGACGGCCAAGAAGGCAGAAUCUCUCUCCAACUCCUCUCGCUCCGAGUCCAUCCACAACAGCCCCAAGUCAUGCCCUACGCCUGAGGUGGACACAGCCAGUGAGGUGGAGGAGCUGGAGGCAGACGGAGUCUCCCUGCUCCCAGCAGCACUGCCCGAGGGCAGCGGGGGAGGAGCCAGGAUCCAGGUCUUCCUAGCGCGCUACAGCUACAACCCCUUCGAGGGCCCCAAUGAGAACCCAGAGGCAGAGCUUCCACUUACCGCUGGCGAGUACAUCUAUAUCUAUGGUAACAUGGACGAGGAUGGCUUCUUUGAAGGGGAGCUCAUGGACGGCCGGAGGGGCCUGGUCCCUUCCAAUUUUGUAGAGCGUGUGUCCGACGACGACCUCCUGACCGCCCUCCCUCCAGAGCUGGCCGAUCUGUCCCACAGCUCAGGCCCCGAACUCAGUUUCCUGAGCGGCGGCGGGGGUGGCAGCAGCAGCAGCAGCGGUGGCGGGGACCAGAGCAGCGGGGGCCGCAGCCAGCCCAGACCAGAGGAAGAGGCUGCAGGGGACGAGCUCAGUCUGAGCCCCCCGCCCGAGGGCCUGGGGGAGCCCCCUGCGGUGCCUUACCCCCGCUGCCUGGCCAUCCUUAAGCAGCUGGCCCACAGCGUGGUGCUGGCCUGGGAGCCACCUCCUGAGCACGUGGCGCUGCGAGGCUACCACGUCUGUGUGAAUGGGGAGCUGCGGCAGGCCCUGGGGCCCGGGGCGCCCCCCACGGCUGUGCUUGACAACCUGGACCCGCGGGCGGGGCCGUUCCGUGUCUCUGUGCAGGCCCUGACCAGUCGGGGCCGCUCGGACCCUCUGCGCUGUUGCUUGGUGUUGGGGGCCCGGGCCGGGGUGGUCCCUAGCCAGCUGCGAGUCCAUCGCCUGACAGCCACAUCUGCUGAGAUCACCUGGGUGCCCGGCAAUAGCAACUUGGCCCAUGCCAUCUACCUCAAUGGGGAAGAGUGUCCCUCUGCCCGCCCCAGCACCUACUGGGCCACCUUCUGCCACCUGCGGCCUGGUACACUCUAUCAGGUCCGAGUGGAGGCUCAGCUCCCACCUCGAGGGUCCUGGGAACCCGGCUGGGAGAGGCCAGAGCAGCGGACUGCCACUUUGCAGUUCACCACACUCCCAGCAGGCCCACCCGACGCCCCCCUGGAUGUACAGAUUGAGCCGGGGCCCUCCCCGGGAAUCUUGAUCAUCAGCUGGCUCCCGGUAACAAUCGAUGCGGCUGGUACCUCCAACGGCGUGCGGGUCACCGGCUAUGCCAUUUAUGCUGAUGGGCAGAAGGUCAUGGAGGUGGCCUCCCCCACAGCAGGCAGCGUGCUGGUGGAGUUGUCCCAGCUGCAGCUGCUGCAGGAGUGCCGCGAGGUGGCCGUGCGCACCAUGUCAGCCCACGGCGAGUCGGCCGACUCCAUCCCAGCUCCCAUCGCCCCGGCCCUGGCGAGGGCCUGCUUGCCAGCCAGGGUCUCCUGCCCCUCACCCAGGCCGGGCCCGGAGGCCAGAUCACCUCUUGCUUCAGCCUCCCCGGGGCCUGCAGACCCCAGCUCUCCCCUCCGGUGCCCUGCUCCCCAUGGAACUCAAGACCCCCCCGGGGGCCCCCCAGCAAGCCCUUCCAGAGAGACACCAAAAGGAACCCAAGAGGAGCCCCCAGCACCUGGCUCCCAGGAGGAAGCUGGGCCCGCUGUGCUGGGUGCCUCAGGCGACGGGCAAGCCGGCGAGCCAACCUUGGGAGAGCGAGUUCCUGGCCCUGCAGCCUCCUCCCUGGUCAAGGAGGAGGCUGAGCGGACCGCAGGAGAGGCCCGCCCGGCACCCGGCGGCACCCAGAAUUCACUGGCCCAGAGGCUGCCCGGUGCUGAGGUCUGCCGCGGAGGAGACCCGGGGUCCGGGCUGAGGCCCAGGGUUGAGCGGGAGGACCCAGCAGAGCUCGGGGUGCGUCUGGGGAACUCCCUUGUGGACCACGGCCGUACCUCAGAUCUGUCAGACAUCCAGGAGGAAGAGGAGGAGGAAGAAGAGGAGCUGGGCGUCAGGACUUGCUCCUUCCAGAAGCAGGUUGCUGGCAACAAGUGCAGGGAGAAUGCAGCCAAGCCCCAGCCUGACCCCUUCUGUGAGGCUGACAGCGACGAGGAGAUCUUGGAGCAGAUCCUGGAGCUGCCCCUCCAGCAGUUCUGCGGCAAGAAGCUCUUCAGCAUCCCUGAGGAGGAGGAGGAGGAGGAGGAGGACGAGGAGGAGGAGGCGGAGGAGGAGGAGGACGAGGAGGAGGAGGAGAAGGAGAGGCCAGGGGCAGGCUGUUCUUCUCGAGACCCCGGCCCGCCGGAGCCUGCAUUGCUGGCGCUGGGCUGUGACAGCAGUCGGCCCCGAGGAUCUGGCCUGUGUCCCUUGUCUCCGGAGCCCCCCAGGGCUGGGGACCGCCUGGAGGACCUGCCUGGACUAGCUGGUGGAAGCAACUGGAGAAAAGGAAGUGGGUCCCCUGAGAAGCCCGCGAACCGCAGGCGGUCCCCAGAUCCCCGUGAACAUUGCAGCCGACUUCUCAGCAAUGGCGGGUCCCAGGCCUCUGGACGACCGGGCCCAGCUCGGGAGAGGGGCGGCCCUCCUGUGGGCGAGGGCAGCAGGGCUGGACCAGAGGCAGGUGGGAGAGGGCGCUCGGCCCCUUCGAGGAGGUGCCCCCGUGGCCGGGCCCCGGAAUCAGGCCUGGCCAGCUGCCUCUCCCCCAAGUGCUUGGAAAUCAGCAUUGAAUAUGACUCUGAGGACGAGCAGGAGACGGGCGGCGGGGGCAUCAGCAGCACCAGCUCCUGCUACCUCGGAGAUGGGGAGGCCUGGGGCACAGCGCCCCCGGGAAGGCCCAGGGGGCCUCAGAAGGCCAAUUCAGGGCCCAACCCCUACCCACGCCUCCCAGCCUGGGACAAAGGGGAGCCAGAGCGGAGAGGCCGCAGUGCAACAGGCAGAGCCAAGGAGUCACCUUCCCGGGUCCGUGCCCUCUCCCCGCCCUGGGCAGCUUCCUGCCUGCUGCCGCCUGGUGGCCCUGCUUGCUGCCCACCAGCUGCUCCCAUUCCACGCUGCCGCCUCCAUCAGCAGAGGCAGCAGAGAGCGGGGAGUCCAGAGGGCAGGACGGCUCUGGGCGGAGGGGCCCCCCAUGGAGUGGGGGCCGGGCCCCCAGACCAGGCUCCACAGAGCUGGCACCUCUGAGGAGCCCUCCAGAAGAAGCGCUGGCUUACCAGGACCUACCCGUCAGGCUCUUCGUGGCUCUGUUUGACUAUGACCCCGUGUCAAUGUCUCCCAACCCCGAUGCUGGGGAAGAGGAGCUGCCCUUCCAGGAGGGCCAGAUCCUCAAGGUGUUUGGGGACAAGGAUGCCGAUGGCUUCUAUCGGGGUGAAGGUGGCGGCCGGACGGGCUACAUCCCCUGCAACAUGGUGGCCGAGGUGGCUGUGGACAGUCCUGCAGGGAGACAGCAGCUGCUCCAGCGGGGUUACUUGUCCCCAGAUGCUCUCCUUGAGGGUUCAGGGAACGGUACCUUUGUGUACACCACAGCCCGCACAGCUGGGCCUCCCCCCAAGCCUCGCCGCUCCAAGAAAGCCCCCCCCAGCUGGUCUCCUCUGCCGCCUGAAAGCUCCCCGCUCCAUGGUGGCUGCAUUUGACUACAACCCCCGGGAGAGCUCCCCCAACAUGGACGUGGAGGCAGAGCUGCCCUUCCGGGCGGGCGACGUCAUCACUGUGUUUGGGGACAUGGACGAUGAUGGUUUCUACUAUGGGGAACUGAAUGGACAGCAGGGCCUGGUUCCAUCCAACUUCCUGGAGGGCCCGGGGCCUGAGACGGGAGGCUCAGACAGGGAGCCCGGGACACUCCAGGCCGAGGGUCAGAGAACGAGGAGGAGAAGAGUCCAGUGCUAGAUGGAGAUAGAUAUAUGUAGAGAGAGCGACAUGACGGGGCGGGCUCAAUACAAGGGCCCCCGGCGGCAACCCCAGGCUGGCCCUGUGCUCCUGGCCCUGGCCGCUUCCCCAGGAUUGAACUAGGGGUGCUACAGGGCCCGAGCAAGAAGAUGUGGGGUCUCCUCUCCAAGGGGAAGCAGCUCCUCAGGAAACUGGGCUCUGAGAAGAAGGAGUGAUGCUGCGGGCCUCCCCCCCGACCCCUGGCAGGCAGAGGGGGCCCCAGGCCCUGGGUGCACUGUCCUGGCCGCAUGGGGCAGGCCCUGGACGCUUGUCUCCCAAGUGAGCCCUGUGGCCCUUGGAUGGGAAUCAGACUCGGUGAAAGUUACAGCUGGAUGAGCCCUUAAGGAUGGAUCCUCUGGGCGCGCAUCUCCCUCUUACAGGAGGGGCACCUGAGCCCCAGCCCGAGGGAGGGCGUCGGCCCCUGCGGGGCUGAGCAUCUCUGACCCAGAGCCAGGCCUGGACGUGGGACUCGUGACUCCUGGUUCACCUACCUCCGCUGGCAUCCACCACGCUCUGCUAGUCCCUUCGUGGCCUCCACGCACCUGGCCCGGGGAUCCCGGGGAGAAAGGGACCUGCUCCCCUCGGACGGCAUCGGCCAUCCCGAUCAUGUCUUCCCUCCCCGAAGGAAAGUUUGCACUGGAUUCUGCUGCGUCCCCCACCCCCGAGGGGGCCGGGGGCAGAGCCGUGUAUAUAUGUACAUACUCAGUGCCUCCGCCCAGCUUCCUCCAUCUCGCUCCCACCGCAAGGCCCGGGAAGGAGAAAGGCCAUGCCAAAGCGGGCCUGACCCCGCCCCAUAGUGCUCCCCCCACCUGCCAGGCGCCCCCCUGGCCUGAGACCCGAGACCCCGGGGGGCCAGCGGGCAGACAGCAGGAGUUGGGUUUGCCUUAUUUUGCUCAUCGAUUCAACUUCUCUUUUGCAUCGUUUUCCCUUAGACCAGGGGCUGGGGAAGAGGACAGAUUUAUGCAGCUAUUUUCAUACAUUCCCUGUUCAGAGCGGGGUGGGGGGCUUCUCCCCCGCCCCCCCUUCCCCUCGCCCCUUCACCACCCCCCCUCAGGCUGGGUGAGUGUCUCUGCAUGUUUCGUUGGCUGUGGUGGGAGAUUGUUUGACGGAAGCCUGCCCCCCACUUUGAUCUCCAGGCGUGUGGAAUGGUGGGGGCAUUUGUUUAAAAAGACAUUUUAUUAUAAUAAAGUCUAUUUUCACAAAA